CUCCUACGGGAGGCAGCAGUGAGGAAUAUUGGUCAAUGGACGAGAGUCUGAACCAGCCAAGUAGCGUGCAGGAUGACGGCCCUAUGGGUUGUAAACUGCUUUUAUAAGGGAAUAAAGUGAGUCUCGUGAGACUUUUUGCAUGUACCUUAUGAAUAAGGACCGGCUAAUUCCGUGCCAGCAGCCGCGGUAAUACGGAAGGUCCGGGCGUUAUCCGGAUUUAUUGGGUUUAAAGGGAGCGUAGGCCGGAGAUUAAGCGUGUUGUGAAAUGUAGACGCUCAACGUCUGCACUGCAGCGCGAACUGGUUUCCUUGAGUACGCACAAAGUGGGCGGAAUUCGUGGUGUAGCGGUGAAAUGCUUAGAUAUCACGAAGAACUCCGAUUGCGAAGGCAGCUCACUGGAGCGCAACUGACGCUGAAGCUCGAAAGUGCGGGUAUCGAACAGGAUUAGAUACCCUGGUAGUCCGCACGGUAAACGAUGGAUGCCCGCUGUUGGUCUGAAUAGGUCAGCGGCCAAGCGAAAGCAUUAAGCAUCCCACCUGGGGAGUACGCCGGCAACGGUGAAACUCAAAGGAAUUGACGGGGGCCCGCACAAGCGGAGGAACAUGUGGUUUAAUUCGAUGAUACGCGAGGAACCUUACCCGGGCUUAAAUUGCAACCGAAUAUGGCGGAAACGCUAUAGCUAGCAAUAGCGGUUGUGAAGGUGCUGCAUGGUUGUCGUCAGCUCGUGCCGUGAGGUGUCGGCUUAAGUGCCAUAACGAGCGCAACCCUUGCCGAUAGUUACUAACAGGUUAUGCUGAGGACUCUGUCGGGACUGCCAUCGUAAGAUGUGAGGAAGGUGGGGAUGACGUCAAAUCAGCACGGCCCUUACGUCCGGGGCUACACACGUGUUACAAUGGGGGGUACAGAGGGCUGCUACCACGCAAGUGGAUGCCAAUCCCAAAAACCUCUCUCAGUUCGGAUUGAAGUCUGCAACCCGACUUCAUGAAGCUGGAUUCGCUAGUAAUCGCGCAUCAGCCACGGCGCGGUGAAUACGUUCCCGGGCCUUGUACACACCGCA
Molecule: ribosomal RNA, 1057 nt
Filed under: uncultured bacterium
Lineage: Bacteria
Description: bacterial SSU rRNA
Rfam family: Bacterial small subunit ribosomal RNA
Source: RNAcentral